GACAGAGGUCCCGAGCGUUAGGCGGAAUCACUGGGCUUAAAGCGUGUGUAGGCGGAUCGUUAAGUACCUUGUGAAAUCCCACGGCUUAACCGUGGAACUGCUUGGUAUACUGGCGAUCUUGAGCCACUUAGGGGCUACCGGAACAAAUGGUGGAGCGGUGAAAUGCGCAGAUAUCAGGAGGAACACCAAUGGCGAAGGCAGCACUCUGGGGACGUGACUGACGCUGAGACGCGAAAGCGUGGGGGAGCAAACAGG
This 255-nucleotide ribosomal RNA is filed under the name uncultured bacterium. RNAcentral's name for it is "partial 16S ribosomal RNA". It matches the Rfam family "Bacterial small subunit ribosomal RNA", at positions 524 to 776 of the family's 1533-position model. The record is from RNAcentral.